UACGUAGGGUGCAAGCGUUGUCCGGAAUUAUUGGGCGUAAAGAGCUCGUAGGCGGUUUGUCGCGUCUGCUGUGAAAACUCGGGGCUUAACCCCGGGCCUGCAGUGGGUACGGGCAGACUAGAGUGCGGUAGGGGAGACUGGAAUUCCUGGUGUAGCGGUGAAAUGCGCAGAUAUCAGGAGGAACACCGGUGGCGAAGGCGGAUCUCUGGGCCGAUACUGACGCUGGAGGAGCGAAAGCGUGGGGAGCGAACAGG
This 254-nucleotide ribosomal RNA is filed under the name uncultured bacterium. Its description in RNAcentral is "partial 16S ribosomal RNA". It matches the Rfam family "Bacterial small subunit ribosomal RNA", at positions 524 to 776 of the family's 1533-position model. The record is from RNAcentral.